This 486-nucleotide ribosomal RNA is filed under the name uncultured bacterium. Its description in RNAcentral is "partial 16S ribosomal RNA". It matches the Rfam family "Bacterial small subunit ribosomal RNA", at positions 30 to 507 of the family's 1533-position model. The record is from RNAcentral.
AUUGAACGCUGGCGGCAUGCCUUACACAUGCAAGUCGAACGGCAGCACGGGUGCUUGCACCUGGUGGCGAGUGGCGAACGGGUGAGUAAUACAUCGGAACAUGUCCUGUAGUGGGGGAUAGCCCGGCGAAAGCCGGAUUAAUACCGCAUACGAUCUACGGAUGAAAGCGGGGGACCUUCGGGCCUCGCGCUAUAGGGUUGGCCGAUGGCUGAUUAGCUAGUUGGUGGGGUAGAGGCCUACCAAGGCGACGAUCAGUAGCUGGUCUGAGAGGACGACCAGCCACACUGGGACUGAGACACGGCCCAGACUCCUACGGGAGGCAGCAGUGGGGAAUUUUGGACAAUGGGCGAAAGCCUGAUCCAGCAAUGCCGCGUGUGUGAAGAAGGCCUUCGGGUUGUAAAGCACUUUUGUCCGGAAAGAAAUCCUUGGCCCUAAUACGGUCGGGGGAUGACGGUACCGGAAGAAUAAGCACCGGCUAACUACGUG